GAUGAACGCUGGCGGCGUGCCUAAUACAUGCAAGUCGAGCGAACGGACGAGAAGCUUGCUUCUCUGAUGUUAGCGGCGGACGGGUGAGUAACACGUGGAUAACCUACCUAUAAGACUGGGAUAACUUCGGGAAACCGGAGCUAAUACCGGAUAAUAUUUUGAACCGCAUGGUUCAAAAGUGAAAGACGGUCUUGCUGUCACUUAUAGAUGGAUCCGCGCUGCAUUAGCUAGUUGGUAAGGUAACGGCUUACCAAGGCAACGAUGCAUAGCCGACCUGAGAGGGGGAUCGGCCACACUGGAACUGAGACACGGUCACGACUCCUACGGGAGGCAGCAGUAGGGAAUCUUCCGCAAUGGGCGAAAGCCUGACGGAGCAACGCCGCGUGAGUGAUGAAGGUCUUCGGAUCGUAAAACUCUGUUAUUAGGGAAGAACAUAUGUGUAAGUAACUGUACACAUCUUGACGGUACCUACUCAAAAAGCCACGGCUAACUACGUG
Molecule: ribosomal RNA, 497 nt
Filed under: uncultured bacterium
Lineage: Bacteria
Description: partial 16S ribosomal RNA
Rfam family: Bacterial small subunit ribosomal RNA
Source: RNAcentral